RNAcentral lists this ribosomal RNA (472 nucleotides) under uncultured bacterium. RNAcentral's name for it is "bacterial SSU rRNA". It matches the Rfam family "Bacterial small subunit ribosomal RNA", at positions 28 to 507 of the family's 1533-position model. The record is from RNAcentral.
GACGAACGCUGGCGGCGCGCCUAAUGCAUGCAAGUCGAGCGACGCAUGCCCGGUGGGUAACCACUAGGUAUGACGGAGCGGCGAACGGGUGAGUAACACGUGAGCAACCUGCCCCGAAGACCGGGAUAGCCCGGGGAAACCCGGAUUAAUACCGGAUACCCUCUCUGGAUCGCAUGGUCCGGUGAGGAAAUGCCUUUGCGCUUCGGGAUGGACUCGCGGCCUAUCAGCUUGUUGGUGAGGUAACGGCUCACCAAGGCUACGACGGGUAGCUGGUCUGAGAGGACGAUCAGCCACACUGGGACUGAGACACGGCCCAGACUCCUACGGGAGGCAGCAGCAGGGAAUCUUGUCCAAUGGGCGCAAGCCUGAGACAGCGACGCCGCGUGAGGGAUGAAGGCCUUCGGGUUGUAAACCUCUUUCAGGAGGGACGAAAUUGACGGUACCUCCAGAAGAAGCCCCGGCCAACUACGUG